UUCUCCCUCAGCCUGCAGUCAGGGCUUUUAAAAUGAUGAAGGGUCUGAAUACAUGAUUCAAAAUAAUCUCAGGAACCAGCACAGAGUUCAGAAGCUUUCUCAGUGCUGGAGAGAUCGAUGGGGUUUGAAAUGAGCUAUCAUAAAUCAAGGGUGAGAAGCAAGUCCUGCUUCUGGCUGGGGAGGCUUGGUGUGAGCAGUCAUCUAAGAGGCCGUAGGGCAGAGGUCUUUCUUUAGGGAGAGCCGUGCAGCUCCAGUGCAGGGCUGGUAUUCAGGAAGAAGUCUUUGGAAGAGCACACUUCUGCCUAAAGCAGCACAAGAAGACCCGGUUCCCAUCAGACUUGGGCACCAGAGAAGGAGACUGAAGUCUGUAUCUGAUAUGGUUCAUUGUUCCACAGUCUGAAUGAAGCACAGUGCUGUGUCAAUACUUAGAAAAAUCAUCCUGUUAUGAAGGAUGGGGAUAAGGAUAUGUUUUACUUCCAUCAACAUCAAAGCUGCAGAACUAUUCAAGUCUUUGAAUGAUUACCUAACAGGAAAACUGAAUUGGUUGUUUCGGCUCAGUAUACACAUGGAUGGAGCAGCUGCCAUGCCUGGAUGCCUUUCUGGUUUCACUACUUGCGCCAAACAGGGGAGAUUGACAACUGUGUUCAAGUCUGCAGAUAACGUGGAUGCAUUCAAAGCCAAACUGAAAUUGUGGAUGUGCUCUGUGGAAAGAAUCCUCUACAUCUAUCAAGUCUCAGCUACACUGUUUCUUUCUCAAUGGAGCUCCCAAAAUACGUCUGCAGGACUCUGUUGCCUUAGGAGUUAAUCUCACCUUUGUCUUUCUGUAAUUCCUCCCAUGUAGAGUUUGAAUAUGGCCAUAGUUUCAGCUCUAGCAAUGCUUUAUAAAAUCACUCAGCAUUCUUUUAAAUGCAGAGUUAAAGUUAUAGAAAAGAAAUGGUAAUUGAUAUGUGCUAGAAAUUAAAAUGUUUCUGGAAUCCAAUAAGGAUGGGAUCUAAUCCUUCAGGGGUCUCUGUGAGUGGGAGGAGAUUGCACAUCUCAACAAACUGAGGGUGUUUUAACUAGGGUGAGUUUUAACACCUGUGUGCAGAAGGCAAGUGAGGUAUCCCUUGCAGGAGGCAGCAGUGAGAACUAAAAUCCCUGUACAAAGCAGUGCAGGUGCAAGGUAGAUGAAGGAGUGGCCCAGACAAAAUGUGCCUCUGACACAGACACAUGCAGACAGCAAGACAACUGACUGCUGCUUCAUGGACCGUUUGUAGAAAAAAUGAGUUGUCACACUGUGAUAACUCAUGCCCAUGGUUCCGUCACCACAGGUAUUCUGGUUUAGAUCUGAAAUGUCCCCCCAAAAUGUUUCAUGUGUGUGAAAGGUGAUGGAGUACUAAUCAGCCAUAAAGAAUGAGAAACUAGAGACAUAUAUAGCUAAAUGGAUGCAUAUUGAGGCCAAACUCUUAAGUGAAAUAAAUACAGUACACAUGUGUAAAUACCGAAUAGUUUCUCUGGUGUGAGAAACUG
Non-coding RNA from Heterocephalus glaber (naked mole-rat), 1509 nucleotides. The record is from RefSeq and is a predicted model, not a curated record. Lineage: Eukaryota; Metazoa; Chordata; Mammalia; Rodentia; Bathyergidae.